CCUACGGGUGGCUGCAGUGAGGAAUAUUGGUCAAUGGGCGAGAGCCUGAACCAGCCAAGUCGCGUGAGUGAGUACUGCCCUAUGGGUUUUAAGCCUCUUUUGUCGGGGAGCAAAAGCCGGACGUGUCCGGCUGUGAGAGUACCCGAACAAGAAGCAUCGGCUAACUCCGUGCCAGCAGCCGCGGUAAUACGGAGGAUGCGGGCGUUAUCGGGAUUUGUGGGGUUUAAAGGGUGCGCAGGCGGAUUUUUAAGUCAGCGGUAAAAUCGUGGGGAUCAACCCCAUCCAGCCGUUGAUACUGGGGAGCUAGAGUGUGCGAGAGGGAUGUGGAAUGCGUGGUGUAGCGGUGAAAUGCAUAGAUAUCACGCAGAAUACCGAUUGCGAAGGCAGCAUACUGGUGCAAAACUGACGCUCAGGUACGAAAGCGUGGGUAUCGAACAGGAUUAGAUACCCCGGUAGUC
RNAcentral lists this ribosomal RNA (458 nucleotides) under uncultured bacterium. Its description in RNAcentral is "partial 16S ribosomal RNA". It matches the Rfam family "Bacterial small subunit ribosomal RNA", at positions 338 to 795 of the family's 1533-position model. The record is from RNAcentral.